This is a long non-coding RNA of Zingiber officinale, 6564 nucleotides long. RefSeq lists it as uncharacterized. The transcript has 4 exons. NCBI's taxonomy places the organism in Eukaryota, Viridiplantae, Streptophyta, Magnoliopsida, Zingiberales, Zingiberaceae. The record is from RefSeq and is a predicted model, not a curated record.
GUGACCAAUUUAACUUAGAUAAUUUAAGUAAGUCAAAUGAGUAUAAAAAUUUAAAUUUUUAUUGUAAAAUUCAAACUUUAGAAGUAGAUCAAACUUUAAAUGGGAUGCAAAAUGAAAAAGUUGUUGAACCAGAUAUUGCGAUAGAGAUAUAGAAGUGCCUAGGGAAACAAAGUAUUAAAUGACUUAUAAAAUUAUUUUACAUGAUAUUGAAAAUAAAAAAAAUGUUUGAUUGGAGAGUAAGUACUCUAGUUCCCUUAUGUAAGAACAAGGGAGAUGUACACAAUUGUGCAAACUAUAGGGGUGUUAAACUAAAGAGUCAUAUUUUGAAACUUUUGGAAAAAAUAAUAGAAAAAAGGUUAAGGAAGGAGACCACAACUGAAAAUCAAUUUUGGUUUAUGGCUGGACAACGACAAUAAAAGUUAUAUAUCUUCUAUAGCAAUUAAUUAAAAAUUAUCGGGAACAAAGGUAAGAUCUACACAUGAUAUUCAUUGAUUUAGAAAAAACUUAUGAUAGAGUCCCAAGAGAAAUUAUAUGGAGAGUUCUAGAAAAGAGAGGUGUUAGCGUAGCAUAUAUUAAACUAAUUAAGGAUAUAUAUGAGAAUAUAAUGACUAGAUUGAAUACUUCAAGCAGAUUAUUUGAAGCAUCUCUAAUAAAUAUAGGGUUAACUCUAAGUCCCUUACUUUUUACACUAAUCAACAAAUACAUUCACGACAUAGUACCGUGGUGCAUAUUGUUUGCAGAUGAUAUUGUUUUGGUAGAUGAGACACAUGAAGAAGUAAAUCCUUAACUAAAAGCUUGGUGAAAAACACUAGAAGUGAAAUGUUUUAGAUUUAGUAGAGUGAAGACAGAAUAUAUCACUGUAUAUGAAAUUUAAGUUUAGAAAUAUUAAACGUAACGAGAUAAUUGUUAAGAUAGGAGAUGACGAGUUGUUUGAGAGCUUUAAGUAUUUAGGAUUAUUUUUGCAAAAUGAUGGAGGGAUUGAGAGAGAUGUCGUACAUAUAAUACAAGUUGGAUGGUUGAAAUGGAAGAGAGCGUCGGGUGUUUUAUGUGAUCAUAAAGUACUUCUAUUAAAGGGAAAUAAACUGCCAUUAGACUUGCUAUGUUAUAUGGCGCUGAAUGUUGGGUUAUGACUCGAGCACAUGAGCAGAAGAUGAGAGUUACAGAGAUGAAGAUUGAUGGUAUCCGGAUUUAUCCUGGAGCAUCCCAAGUCGCUAGAAUCUUCUCCCGAGCAAUCCAUUCUCAGGCGCUACAGUUACCAUGCUAUAGCACCUUACUCCACAAAGCCGUAUAGUACUUUACUCCACAAAGUCAGAUUGUUCUCUUGAGUAAUUCAUUGCUUAGCUACAAUACCCUUGCUAUAGUAAUGCUACAAUAGUAUUCCAAAUCCAUCUUAUUAUUUCGAGCAUCGAUUGCUCAGCUGCUACAAUAACAGUGCUAGAGUAGCUCUGCUAUAAUAACACUGCUCCAAUCGCUGAUACAGUUUUCUAAACACAUUAGAUUAUUCUUUCGAGUUAUAUAGUCCUCGACUUUUACCGUAGCUGCUACAUAACAGUUGCUGCUAUAGUGUUAUUGCACUAUAAUACUUCGGGAACUCAGCCUCAUCUCCUCAAACAAUCCUAAUUUUGGGUACUACAGUGAUUGCUACAGUGGAGUGCUGCUAUAAUGUUAUUACGCUACGACACUCAGGAAAACAGCCUCAUCUUCCUGAGCAAUCUACAUUAUUCUAUAAAAUGAGCUUCAUCUCCCAGCCAUCCCAAUUUCGGAUGCUACACUAAUCGUAUUGCUACAUUAUUAUUACACUACAAUGUUUUAGGAAAUUAGCCUCAUCUUCCUGAGCAAUCCAAAUUUCAGAUGCUAUAGUAGUGCUACAAUAUUGUUAUUUAUGUUAUUGUGCUACAGUACUCCAGAAAAUCAGUCUAAUCCCCCCGAGUAAUCCCAAUUUCGAGUGCUAUAGUCAGUCUACACUACACACAAAUAUAUAAUGUUCUCGAAAUCAGUUUAUUCUCCCGAAUAAUAUGACUAAAAUUCCACCGAGCAAUAGAUUUAUGUUUUGCCGGGCAACAUCACCGAGUGUCUCCGAGCAAUAUACUCAAGUUCUCCUGAGUAAUACAAGUAAAUCCCAUUGAGCCAUUAGUUGAGCUCGGCCGAGCAACGAAGUUGUCGAAACUUCUAAUUGUAAAUAUGUGGCAAUCAUUAAGUGGAUUGGCAAGUAGUGGAUGUUAAAUUUGGUUUCCUUGAUUUGUUCCUCUCAACACGUGGCGAUCGAUGAAUGGAUAAGUGAGUAACAGAUUGUCAGAGGUUGUGUCUUCACUCAUAUAGGAGAAAGUGGGAAGGAUGUGAAGGAUCCGACUGAGAUGCCUUUCUGAUAGCUAUAUAAGCACUAGGAGAAGUAAGGUACAAGGAUCUUGAUUCUCUUCUUCUCGUAAGCGGAGGUAACUCCUUUCCAUUAGCUUUCUUCUUCAUCUUCUUCUUUAGUCUUUUACUUCUUGGAUCGAUGACUGACUUGAGUGUUAGAGAGCAAGUACCGGCAAACCGACCCAAGCUCUAAUCCGUGUUACAUCUCAGGGUGCUUGGAUCUUGCCAGGUGGGAAGCUGAUCUCACAUUCUAUAAAGGAGGAGCCCAGCAAGUGGAAAACGAGACCAUCAAGGAUGUUAAAGUGGAUGUGUGGACAUACGAGGAUGGACAGAAUAAGAAAUGAGAGCAUUAGAGAAAAAGUCGGAGUUGCAUCUAUUAAGAGAAAAUUCUGAAAGACGUUUAAGAUGGUACAAACAUGUAAUUAUACGGCCAAUAAAUGCUAUACUUAGGUGAUGUGAAAUUAUAACAAAUAUACACAUCAACAAGAAAAAGGAAAACUAACAAAAAGACUUGAUUAACAAUAAUUAAAUAAGAUAAAGUUUAUUUAAGUAUAAAUGAUGAUAUAGUUGGGGAUAGAGCUCAAUGACAUAGAAUGAUUUAUAUAACCGAUUACAUCUAGUGGGAUAAAGCUUGGUUGCUGUUAUUGUUGUAUUGAACUUUUAAAUGUUCUAAAUGUUGCUGACAGGUUGAAUUUCAAUCUGAAGCUUUUGUGCUGAGUAGUUCACCAUUAUUGAGGUAUUCAAGUGCAACAAUACUGAGAAUGUUGAGAACCAGAGCAAAUGCAAGCAAUAUCACUACAGAGUACCAAUACCAACGCCACUCUGUUAACAUCCCUCUCGCUCUCAGAAUGGUCUUUCCAAUUGUAUCCUCGAUGCUUCCUCCAUUGUCAAAUUUCUGUUAGAAUAAUUGCAGAUAGAAGUCUGCAACGUUCUUUCUGUCGGGACAUUUGAAGCCCAUCCAUUCAAAAUAUUUAAGGGCAUGUUCUCUUGGUCCUUGGUAAGCAAUUUUUCCCUCACAUAGAAGGAUUAUAUCAUCAAAUAGAUCAAAUGUUUCUUGAGUAGGCUGAAGCAAAGAUAUAACCAUGGUGAAAUCCAAAGCAUGUGUAAGCUGCUGCAGAAACUUGAGAAUCUGAAAGGUAGUGGAGCUAUCAAGCCCUGUGGAAAUGUCAUCCAUGAAAAAACAUUGUGCUAGUCCUACCAGCAUUUCACCUGCAGACGUGCAACAGUGCAAAUUGCAAAAUUAAAUGCCUCUGGAGAGUUACUACAGCAUGGUACAAAACCUCAGCACACAUCAGCCAAGCCUAUAUGAUGCUUCAAAGUUCCAAGUCCUCCCUCCCUGCCUUUCACUUCCACAUCCAUAAUACUAUGAAUUAUACAGGAUGUGGUCAAUCUGAUAAGUCUACAUCUAUAGGUAUGUUUAUGUGAUUCAUGGGUCUUGUGGGCAUCCAUACACAGUCAACUAUAUGCCAUAAUCAUUUGGGUCCAAUUGACAGUAUGCUUACUAAGCACGCUAUUAUAAGACUGAAAUCCAUCCUACAUUGUAAUUUAGAUCAAUGCAAAUCAUAUUUUCUGUAUUUAUGAUAAUAACUGCUCCUAGUGAUAAUUCUCAUCUGUAUAAGACCUUAUCUGUAUUCUGGCUUUAGAUCAGAUGCUAGUUGACUUAGGAGUUUAAGUUUAGCCUAAGUGAAAUCGUUGUAUCUGCCUUUGACUAACUUUGCCAAAACACAAGCUUGAAACCAAUAUAGUAAAACACUCCUAUCAGUCUACAAAGGUUGAUUAGGUUGGGUGUGUUUAUCUGAUGGAUCUUUUCUAUCAAGCAAUUGUAUUGACCAGAUAUGUUGGGCUCAUGACUCGAAAAUGUGUGCUGGGUGUGUCAAUUGAGCAAAGCCAAUCAAGUAGACCCAGUGAAUCAAACAAUUAAGCAGACCGAACAAAUUAGGUAAGUGAAGAAAAACAACUUUGGUGGGUCUCUAGAGUCGUUAGAUGAAUUAAACUAAUUGACAGGAUGAGUAGUACAAAUGGGAUAGAUGGAUUAUGGAUAAAUUAUACCCAAUAAUAGUUAAUCAUUUCAAAGAUUAUUCUUUAUUUAUUACUUAUAGUAUUUUUAGAAAUAACAUAUACAAAGUUAUAUGGAGUUUUUAUUUGCCAACUAAGCUCCACAUAUACAUAAACAAACAUUUUACUGAGAUCUUUAACAACAUGUGAAUUUGAAGACUAGAGAAAUAUAAUAAUAUAUCAAAGCUUGUGCCUAGAUUUGUGCCAUCUACAUGUUAAAAUCUCAAAAAGUUUAUUCUAAUACACAGCCAUGUUUGCACGUGACUUUUCUGAUAAUGUUUCUUGAAGACUUCUUGCAACUGUACAGUUGUAAGAAAUCCUGUACGAACUGUCAGAAAAGUGAAACUUGCCUUCUUGUGCCAAAGAGAAAAAAAAUACUCGUUUUUUUUUGUAAAUCUUGGUUUCAGGCUUAGUAGAAUAAAAAUAGAAUAUAUAAAAUUUAAAUUUAGUAAUAUUAGACGUAAUGAGAUAAUUGUUAAAUAGGAGAUGACAAGUUGUCCGAAACCGAGAGUUUUAAAUAUUUAGAAUCAUUUUUGUAAAACGAUAGAGGGAUUGAGAGAGAUGUCUUACAUAAAAUACAAGUAGGAUGGUUGAAAUGGAGGAGAGCGUAGGGUGUUUUAUGUUACCGUAAAAUACCUCUAAAACUUAAAGAAAAGUUCUACGAAACCCCAGUUAGACCUGUUAUGUUAUAUAGAGUUGAAUGUUGGGCUAUGCCUCGAGCACAUGAGUAGAAGAUGUGAAUUGUAAUAUGAGGAUGUUAAAGUGGAUGUGUGGACAUACGAGGAUGGACAGAAUAAUAAAUAAGAGCAUUAGAAAGAAAGUUGGAGUUGCAUCUAUUGAGGGGAAACUUCGAGAGACAUGAUUAAGAUGAUACAUCCAUGUAUUUAGACGACUAAUAAAUGCUCUCACAAGCAUACAUAUCAAAUAAGGAAGAGGAAGACAAAAAAAACACAUGGUUAGAAAUAAUAAAAUAAGAUAAAAUUUAUUUAAGUAUAAAUGAUGAUAUAGUAGGAGAUAGAAUUCAAUAAUGUAAAAUAAUUCAUAUAGCCGACCUCAUCUACUGAGAUAAGAUUUAGUUAUGGUUGAUGUUGUAGUUUUUUUUCAUAAAUGAAGCAUUAAAAGUCAACUUUCAAGCUAUUUGUAAUCUAUCUUAAUGACAGAAUUAAAAAUUAGUACCUAGAUGGCUUUACAGUUCCUUUCAAAUCACUUAGCACUUUGACACGCCUCCAAUUUGUAUCAUACAAUUUUAGCCAUCCCAGAAGUUCCUGUCCAGGCAUAGAACAGUUUAGUUAGGCAAAUCCUUGGCAGGCACAAGAAAACAUCAGGAAAAUUUUUAAGUAAAAUGCAGAAAACACCAUGAUCAGGAUUCGCUGAUCAAUGUUCAUUUAUUAUGCCAACGGCAGAUCAACACUUUCUUUAUUCUAAUCCCAUCAGUUAAAGAGUCUUAUUUAUUCUAUGCCAUUUGUACUACUGCAUGCUUGUUUUCCAUGUGUCAAUUGCUUUGCUGAUCCUGAUCACAAUUGCAGAUCGAGUUUGUCUUGAACUUUUAACUGGUGAGUAUUCCUAAUAAAAGCGUGCUAAUGUUUCAUAGUUUUUUUAGCAGUAGCUAAAGCAUUUGAUGGUGAGAAAUGCAGUUGCAAGCAAUAACAUCUCUAUUAUUUCAUUGGUUCCCAAUGCUAAUGAGUUUGGUUCUUUAUUCUACAACAGCUGGCACAUUUAUAAUGGCGAACUCAACAGUGCACGCACGCGCUUUGGCCGAACAAAGUGACAAGGAACAUGAUUGGAGUUAAAUCACUGUCUCAAUGCACAGUGUUUUUUAGAAAAUCUUCCAUGCUAACAUAGACAAGUGGAAGAUGAGGUAAUUGUCAAACAACAUUUUGUCCAUGAAUCAAUCAGUAAACAAAUUAUUGCACCAAACUUAAUUUCUAGGUAGUCAUUUUAAUGAAGGGUUGCUGCUUCUGUACUGAUCUAGCAGAUUGAGCACAGGUAGGAAACUAAGAUAAGGGAAUGUUUAAUUAUCAACAGAGGUAAGAUUCUAUCAAUCAUGGAGAUUAUUAAUCUUAAACUGUUGAAGCUGAUUAUAUAUAUAUAUAUUAUAUAUGCUCCUUCAAUUAUUUAGUCACAGUACUGAAAACAUAAUUGUCUUGUAAAAAA